Molecule: long non-coding RNA, 2312 nt
Filed under: Xyrichtys novacula (pearly razorfish)
Lineage: Eukaryota; Metazoa; Chordata; Actinopteri; Labriformes; Labridae
Source: RNAcentral
GUAAUAAUGCCUCAGUGCUGUGUCCCUUGCUGCUCUAACCGAUCAGAGACAAAAACAGCCACUAAACUAUCGUUCCACAGAUUUCCUCCCAACAACAAAGACAAGAAGAGAUGGCUGCAGUUAAUAAGGUAAGUUACCAUUCAAGAAAUACAUAGAAAAUCGAAGUUUAGCGCUAACGCUAACGCUAACCCUUGCUCAGAGUUUGCAGACUAGCUACCCUCGGUGUUAUCGAAACUACCGUGACAUACUAGACAUAUAUUUCUAUUUUUAGUUUAGUCAACCGACUACAAAAGUACCAUCUGCCUCGAGGAUCAAUAUAUGUGCUUUCCUUAUGUUUUCUCUGCUCAGCAAAGCUGUAAUCAGCGUGUAGUGGAGGGUCAACAGUAUCGUUACCCACAUCUGUAUUUACUACUACAACCCUGUCUGUAAAGAGAUUAUAUCAGUUACUGUAGGUAUUAUGUCAGGCUGAUUAUGUCAUUAUUUCAGCUACACACCAGUACAAUCUGCAUUAUCUUAAGCAUUGCCAAAUGUUCAAAUUUCUAGGUCUUCCCUUGACUCUCUCAGUAUACAAAUGGAACCAAAUGAACCCACAUUUGGUUCCAUUUGUAUACUGUUAGAGUUACAGACUUGUAUGGGUCGAUUUAGACCCUCAUAAAAGUCCCUAGGAUCCACUUAGACAACCACUGACUUAUACAGUCUGUAGGGUAUACUAUGCUGAUAUAACUUAUACAAUCUUUAUGGUAGAGUAUGUUAACACAAUGCAAAUUAUUCAAUUUUGAUAGUUAAUGUUGUCUCCCUUUUAUUAGGACAUUUAGAUUGUGUCAAAGGUAAUGUCUCCACCAGAAACAGGAUCUGAGUCUGACACCAAUCUUGACCAGAUGGUCAAGAUUACAUUUAUCCCCUGAGUGAGCAGGAUGGCUCUUUUAGGUCAAUGGUAAAAAUAAUGCCAGUGCUUGUGCAGUAAACAAGGGUUCAAAUCCAUUGCAGCUGAGGAAAGUAACAGUGCAGCUUUAAGUUUUCAUUGCCAGUAAUUUGCUACACUGUAAUUUUUGUGCACAUAACUAACACAUUUGAAAUAUCUCGUCCCCUUUCUAUUUACAGGCGUGACGACUUUACCCCAAACUGCAACUCAAGGGUGUGCAGUUGGCAUUUCCCGGAUGGCAAAGCUGCUGGCCCAUCACGGUUUGCUUGGAACGAGGGGAAGACUUUCCCAGGUCACCUCAGCCAUCCACCCGAAAAGAAGAAAAAAGUGGUCCCACUCCCUACCAGUGGUGAAGAUGAAGGGACAAAUGAACUUGAACUACAUAAUGCUGACAUAGCAACUGCAGAGACCCCUAGUACUUCAGAGAACCCUUCUACUACAAACAGUGUUGAGGUGCUUGAGAUAGAGGUUGAUAUGUUGAGAAGAGAGAACGAGAAAUUGAAAAAUGAAUUGGAGAAACAAAAACAAAUCUUUUCCUUCAGUCAAAUAUCUUCCAAUUCUGACAAAGUACAAUAUUUCACUGGCUUACCUGAUGCUGCUACCGUCCUGUUUUUGGAAACACUUUUAUCUAAGUUUGAGCUAAAAUAUCAUUCUGAUUGGACAGUCCAGUUUAUGCCACUAGUCGAUCAGUUGCUCCUGACCUUGAUGAAGCUUAGACUUAAUUGUGGUCAUUUAGACCUUGCAACCAGAUUUAAUUGUAGCACAGCCACAGUAACCAACAUUUUUCUCACUAUUGUCAGUGCCCUGUAUGACAUUUUGUAUGUUGGUAUGCUUGAGAACAUCCCCUCCACAGCCAAGAACCAGACAUCACUGCCAGAGUGUUUCCGUCCAUUUCCUAAUUGUAGGAUUGUGCUCGAUUGCACAGAGGUUGCUGUCUCCAAGCCAGAGCGGCUUGACACACAGAGUCAUCUAUACAGCCAGUACAAAGGACGGACCACACACACAAGACUUUAAUAGGUGUGGCUCCUAAUGGAGUGAUUACAUUUGUCAGUGACUAUUAUGGUGGGAGUGCCUCAGACAAGGCAAUAACAGCAGAUUCUGGAGUUCUCAACCAUCUAAAACCAGGUGACAUGGUGAUGGCAGACAAAGGCUUCACAAUCCAGGACAUCUUGCCAGAAGGGGUUUCGCUGAACAUCCCUUCUUUCCUUGUAAAUGGACAGUUCACACAGGAAGAAGUGAAGAAAAACAAACUUAUCUCCAGUGCUAGGAUCCAUGUGGAGCGCUCCAUUCAGAGGUUGAAAUUAUUUCGCAUUUUGGACAAUAUCCCACAUCAGUUCACCAAAAACAUUAACAAGAUACUGAAAGUGUGUGUGUGUCUUACCAACCUGCA